RNAcentral lists this ribosomal RNA (254 nucleotides) under uncultured soil bacterium. Its description in RNAcentral is "partial 16S ribosomal RNA". It matches the Rfam family "Bacterial small subunit ribosomal RNA", at positions 26 to 280 of the family's 1533-position model. The record is from RNAcentral.
AGGACGAACGCUGGCGGCGUGCUUAACACAUGCAAGUCGAACGGUGAAGGAGAGCUUGCUCUCCGGAUCAGUGGCGAACGGGUGAGUAACACGUGAGUAACCUGCCCUUGACUCUGGGAUAAGCGUUGGAAACGACGUCUAAUACCGGAUACGAGCUUCAGCCGCAUGGCUAGGAGCUGGAAAGAAUUUCGGUCAAGGAUGGACUCGCGGCCUAUCAGCUAGUUGGUGAGGUAAUGGCUCACCAAGGCGACGAC